Phoenix dactylifera (date palm) is the source of this 1129-nucleotide non-coding RNA. Lineage: Eukaryota; Viridiplantae; Streptophyta; Magnoliopsida; Arecales; Arecaceae. The record is from RefSeq and is a predicted model, not a curated record.
AGAAAAACACUAGUUAGCAAGAUAGCUUAGCCAAACCAAGGGAAUCAAGAUUAUUUCAAAUUAAACUUUCUACAAAGCAAAUGAUAUAGUUUAUGAUAAGAGAACUAAAAAGAAAUACAAGGUUUCAUUAUGUGCAUGUUCAAGGGAAACGGGCUAUACAGUGCAUGAUCAAUAAGACAGCAUCUAAUCCAGAAAGCUAAUACAAAAAAUUUUGUAUGUCUUUUUCAGUAUUUUCCACUUUGUAAGAGAUUAUCCCUUUGAAAAUUAUGACAUAGUCUCUUCUGAAGAAAAUUCUAAGAGGGAUCAUUAAAAUUCAUAACAAUAGACAGAAAUUCUCAAUACUUCAACAAUGAGAUGUGCACAUUAAUCUAAAAGUACCAAAAACUAAUAAGUAUCUUGAGCAAGGAAUGCGGAACCGUCCAUAAUCGCCCGGUUCAAAGCGUACCAAGCCAUGCCGGCAGCAGACCAGGACGGUUCCGGAGGCAGACCAGGACGGUUCCGGAUGCAAACCAGGACGGUUCCAGCAUUCAAAAUGGUGAACCAGCAGGUGGGAGGAGAGGAAGAAGGAAAGAGAGGAAAAGAGGCGAGAGGAAGAGGGAGAGGGAGGGCCUCCAGAAGCCUCCGGAGGGCGCUAGAGGGGCGCCAAAGGGCUAGAGUAGGGGCUUCGCCCUUCGGACCCCUAUGAUGUUCGAAUUAGAGGUCCGUUGGGGCUCUUUUUUUUGUUUUGAAAAUUUUUAGUGAAGUCGACAAGAGGUUUUCCGACUUCACUUAAAAUUUGAGCCCCUUUUUUGGAAAUUUAAAGUAAAGUCAACAAACCUCUUGCCGACUUCACUUAAAAUUUUCAAAAUAAAAAAGGAGCCCUGACAGACCCCUGUUUCGAACGAAACAGAGGGUCCGGAGGGCGGAGCCCCUGCUCCGGCCCUUCGCCACCCUACGAAGGCCUUCGGCGACCCCCCCCCUCUUUUUCCCUCUCUCCCAUUCUCUCUCCCGCUCCCUCACCCUGUUGUGUCGGUACAAGCUCGACACGGUUGGCCCGGCACAGAACGACAUAGGGGCAUACCGAACCGUGCCACCGGCCGACCAAUACAGGCUCCAGUAACAGCAUGGCAGACCUUGAUCUAAAAAAAAA